RNAcentral lists this long non-coding RNA (1016 nucleotides) under Felis catus (domestic cat). RNAcentral describes it as "lncRNA (ENSFCAG00000049539.1)". Lineage: Eukaryota; Metazoa; Chordata; Mammalia; Carnivora; Felidae. The record is from RNAcentral.
CCGGAGUAUCUCGCUCUGACAACUGUCUCUGCCCGUGGAGCACUGAUGCGUGUGUGGACAGUGCGAGCCCCACUCUCUCCUCCCGCCCGCCCCGGUCUCCUGCUCUGCCUCCUCUGGUUGGUUGAGCCUCAGCACAUUCUGGUAGGAAGGUGGAGGAAGUCAGACUUCAAUGACUCAGCGAGCCCAGAUGCUUACACCUCUGCCAGAUUUGUGUCACACUGCCUGCCACUUAUCAGACUCAGAAUAAUGAAAACCCUCUUGCUGGCAGGCGUAGUAGUUACGAGAGAACAGGAAUGCGCAUGGAGAUCCAGCCGUGGGAAUGCAAAGCCGCUCGUUUACCACGGGCUGGAAUCCGUUCUGAGUGGGCAAGGUGGGCGGUCCUCCAAGCACAGAAAUGAUCUCCAGACCCUCCCGGACACGUAAGAAAUGCCACUUCUGCGACCCCGGAGUUUCCUUCUCCUGCAUCCACGGUGGGUUCUGUUAGAGCUGUAUCCCUGGGACCCUCCCCCACGGGAUGGGAGGAGACCCCCGGCUUGGGCAGGUCAAGACAGGCUGUGCCCCUCUAAAGCCCCAAGUGGUGGUCAGCACGAGGAGGAGAGCCGGGGUUGCCAAGAGGCGGGAAUAGACGGGGAUCAGGUGGAAGGGUGGCAUCGUGAGUGGGCUGGUCUGAUGCUGUUCGGGUGGCAGGUGGCCACACGUCAUCAGCUCAGGAAAAGCCCCGGAAGAAUAUCGUAGGGUAUUUAAGGUUUUCAAUUGGUGAUUAAACUCUAAAUGCCAUCAUUUCCCUACAUGUGGCAAAUAUCCUUUGUGUUUUAAAGCAUGCUCUUUUGGAAAGUGUCAGUUAAUUUAAACCCAAGCCCACAGGACAGAUUUGAAAUGCAGGUUUUCAGAAUAAUUUAUAGACAUGUUGACUUAGAAAAGACCAUUGCUUUCACUGAAAUUUAAGUCUUUCUGUGUAAUGGGUCCUUCUACACUAAUCAAAUAAACCAUCUCAACAGAAGAGGAAAAUUUAAUCC